RNAcentral lists this ribosomal RNA (492 nucleotides) under uncultured bacterium. RNAcentral's name for it is "bacterial SSU rRNA". It matches the Rfam family "Bacterial small subunit ribosomal RNA", at positions 30 to 524 of the family's 1533-position model. The record is from RNAcentral.
UGAACGCUAGCGGGAGGCCUAAUACAUGCAAGUCGAGCGGUAGAGUCCUUCGGGACUUGAGAGCGGCGCACGGGUGAGUAACGCGUACAUGACCUGCCUUUAAGACCGGGAUAGCCCUGGGAAACUGGGAUUAAUACCGGAUGUGAUAAUAUGUAUAGAGAUAUAUUAUUAAAGUUGAGGCGCUUAGAGAUGGGUGUGCGUUUGAUUAGCUAGUUGGUAGGGUAACGGCCUACCAAGGCGACGAUCAAUAGGGGGCGUGAGAGCGUGACCCCCCACACGGGUACUGAGACACGGACCCGACUCCUACGGGAGGCAGCAGUAAGGAAUAUUGGUCAAUGGACGGAAGUCUGAACCAGCCAUCCCGCGUGCAGGAUGAAGGUCCUAUGGAUUGUAAACUGCUUUUAGCAGAGACGAAACGCCGACAUUUUAUGUUGGUCUGACGGUAUCUGCGGAAUAAGCACCGGCUAACUCCGUGCCAGCAGCCGCGGUAAU